GCCUAAACUCUAAACAGACAAGACAGACAAAGAAAAAAGCACAUUGUCAUUUUUCAGAUGGGGAGCUGCAACACAGAGAACCUAAGUGACUCACCCCGAGUCCCACAUGGAGUCAGUGGCAGAACUGGAAAUGGAACCCAGAUCUUGAGUUCUAGGCCUGUGCUGAGCCACACGAGCACCUUUUUCCUAGCGAACAUGACACGUGUAGCUGGAGGAGAAGCAGCGAGAGACCGGACAAUACCUCUUAAAAGAAAAUGGCUGCAAGCAGGAACCAAGGGCUGGGUCUGGAUCCUGGGAGCCACACUGUUGCAGCAGGAGAGGUACACUUUGUAAGAGCAAUACUGGACCUGAAGCAGAGCAGCAGUAUUCCACCCAUGUUGACAGCAUUGUCCAGUCGAGAGGGCACUGGGCUGGCAGGUAGUCCCGUUCUGCCAUUGACCAGCUGUGUGACCUGGGGUGAGUCACUGACCCAACAUAUAGUCUCUGUAUAUUGUAAGCUGUUUGGGAUGGGG
Molecule: long non-coding RNA, 512 nt
Filed under: Gopherus agassizii (Agassiz's desert tortoise)
Lineage: Eukaryota; Metazoa; Chordata; Testudines; Testudinidae
Description: lncRNA (ENSGAGG00000021469.1)
Source: RNAcentral